AUGUUUGAUGACUACAUCUACGCACCACAAACACAUCAAGUAUCUACUAUUAAAUGUGGGCUGGGUUUUCACUGUUGGAAAUGGAUGGACUGCUUCAGGAAAAACCUUCAAGUCACAUAUCAUAUAUGCAAUCUAAGACUUACUAAACCAGUUGACUUAGUUGGCUUACUGCAAAACAAGAACCAUUACUGACCACCUACUUCUGUGUUGGACUAUUAGGUGGAACAGCCAUUCUGUUAGAAGGAACAACGUUACAAUGUGAUGGACUACUAGGUGGAACAGUCAUUCUGUUAGAAGGAACAACGUUACAAUGUGAUGGACUACUAGGUGGAACAGCCAUUCUGUUAGAAGGAACAACGUUACAAUGUGAUGGACUACUAGGUGGAACAGUCAUUCUGUUAGAAGGAACAACGUUACAAUGUGUUGAUAUCAGGAUCUCCAAGGUGUCUUUCAUCUGAGUUUUACUGUUUGACUCCAAAGACUCUUAUGAUGGUUUAUAGCUUUCAGCUAAAUUCAUGCAUUAAAUUAUUAUAUUUUUCAUGGCAUAAUCUGUUCUUUCUAAUUCAAAUGACUUGAAUGAAAUGAUUAUAAAAUGCAUCAUUGAGAAUAAUAGGGUGGGAUACUACUAGUAUUGCUGCUGGACAUUAAACACUACUGUCAUAUUUUCUAAGUGGUGUUUUUUAUCAGUCUGUCCCUUUCACUUUGACAGUGAUGCUCUAAUGAUGUCAUAUCAUCAUGUGGUAACUGUCCUCAUGAUGCAGUAUUGUUGAUAAAAGAUGCUGUUGCCCAUGUGUAUGUAUGUAAUGUGAUUGACAUGUCCUGAGUCCUGUGUGUCUCCUGUGUGUCUGGCUUGGCUUGUGUCCCACAUGGUACCCUUUAACCCUAUGUAGUGCACUACUUUUGACCAGGGCCCAUAGGGAAUAGGGAACCAUUUGGAACACCGACUGAGAGUCUAGGAGGCAAUAUGAUUCUCACAGCACAGUUUGAUUGACAUGUAGGAUAAUCUGCAAUGGAUCAAUAAUAAUACAAUGAAUAAACCUCCCCUUUAUUUUAAAGCUGUUCUCAGUUUUGAUGGUUGAAUUUUAUCCAUGUAAUUUAUCCUGUCCGUUAUGACAUGUUAUUUACCCUGUAUCAUCGUCUAAUUAACAUAUUCAUCAGUGUCUCUAAUCAAAACUCACUCAAAACACUCAAAGAUUGUAUUUUCUUCAGGGGUUUGUUUUUAUUUCUGUAACGCUUCAGGGAAGGGUAAAGGUGUAACGAUGUACACUGAGAGUCAGGAAGAAAGUUCUGGAAGGGAAUACAUGCAAUAAAUAAACACAACAAGACACACGAACAGCCCACCAAGAUCACACGGAUACAGAGGGGAGGGGAGGCAGGGGGCAGCGGUACUCUAGGGGGAGUAGUGGGGAGGGGAGGCAGGGUGCA
RNAcentral lists this long non-coding RNA (1425 nucleotides) under Oncorhynchus mykiss (rainbow trout). Its description in RNAcentral is "lncRNA (ENSOMYG00000067606.1)". Lineage: Eukaryota; Metazoa; Chordata; Actinopteri; Salmoniformes; Salmonidae. The record is from RNAcentral.